GGCUCGGUAGCUCAGUCGGUAGAGCAGAGGACUGAAAACCCUCGUGUCGGCGGUUCGAUUCCUUCCCGAGCCACCA
This 76-nucleotide transfer RNA is filed under the name Bacillus thuringiensis. RNAcentral describes it as "tRNA-Phe". It matches the Rfam family "tRNA". From Rfam's summary of the family: Transfer RNA (tRNA) molecules are approximately 80 nucleotides in length. Lineage: Bacteria; Bacillati; Bacillota; Bacilli; Caryophanales; Bacillaceae. The record is from RNAcentral.